AGAAUGUAGACUCGCUAAUAUCGGGUCUAUUUGACAAAGGCUCCAAAGGAAGCCACGGCUAACUCUGUGCCAGCAGCCGCGGUAAUACAGAGGUGGCAAGCGUUGUUCGGAAUUAUUGGGCGUAAAGAGCACGUAGGUGGAUUUGUAAGUCAGACGUGAAAGCCUUCUGUUCAACGGAAGAAUUGCAUCUGAAACUACAAACCUUGAGUGUAGGAGGGGAGAGUGGAAC
This 229-nucleotide ribosomal RNA is filed under the name uncultured Planctomycetales bacterium. Its description in RNAcentral is "partial 16S ribosomal RNA". It matches the Rfam family "Bacterial small subunit ribosomal RNA", at positions 446 to 667 of the family's 1533-position model. The record is from RNAcentral. Lineage: Bacteria; Pseudomonadati; Planctomycetota; Planctomycetia; Planctomycetales.